RNAcentral lists this ribosomal RNA (1135 nucleotides) under Salmonella enterica subsp. enterica serovar Typhi. RNAcentral's name for it is "partial 23S ribosomal RNA". It matches the Rfam family "Bacterial large subunit ribosomal RNA", at positions 1 to 1155 of the family's 2925-position model. The record is from RNAcentral. Lineage: Bacteria; Pseudomonadati; Pseudomonadota; Gammaproteobacteria; Enterobacterales; Enterobacteriaceae.
AGGUAAGCUACUAAGAGCGAAUGGUGGAUGCCUUGACUGGUAAAGGCGAUGAAGGACGUACUAGACUGCGAUAAGCUACGGGGAGCUGUCAAGAAGCUUUGAUCCGUAGAUUUCCGAAUGGGGCAACCCAAUGUAUAGAGAUAUACAUUACCUAUAUAGGAGCGAACGAGGGGAAUUGAAACAUCUUAGUACCCUCAGGAAAAGAAAUCAAUAGAGAUUGCGUCAGUAGCGGCGAGCGAAAGCGCAAGAGGGCAAACCCAGUGCUUGCACUGGGGGUUGUAGGACUGCAAUGUGCAAGAGGUGAGUUUAGCAGAACAUUCUGGAAAGUAUAGCCAUAGAGGGUGAUAGUCCCGUAUGCGAAAAACAAACCUUAGCUAGCAGUAUCCUGAGUAGGGCGGGACACGAGGAAUCCUGUCUGAAUCCGGGUCGACCACGAUCCAACCCUAAAUACUAAUACCAGAUCGAUAGUGCACAAGUACCGUGAGGGAAAGGUGAAAAGAACUGAGGUGAUCAGAGUGAAAUAGAACCUGAAACCAUUUGCUUACAAUCAUUCAGAGCCCUAUGUAGCAAUACAGGGUGAUGGACUGCCUUUUGCAUAAUGAGCCUGCGAGUUGUGGUGUCUGGCAAGGUUAAGCAAACGCGAAGCCGUAGCGAAAGCGAGUCUGAAUAGGGCGCUUAGUCAGAUGCUGCAGACCCGAAACGAAGUGAUCUAUCCAUGAGCAAGUUGAAGCUAGUGUAAGAACUAGUGGAGGACUGAACCCAUAGGCGUUGAAAAGCCCCGGGAUGACUUGUGGAUAGGGGUGAAAGGCCAAUCAAACUUCGUGAUAGCUGGUUCUCUCCGAAAUAUAUUUAGGUAUAGCGUUGUGUCGUAAUAUAAGGGGGUAGAGCACUGAAUGGGCUAGGGCAUACACCAAUGUACCAAACCCUAUCAAACUCCGAAUACCUUAUAUGUAAUCACAGCAGUCAGGCGGCGAGUGAUAAAAUCCGUCGUCAAGAGGGAAACAACCCAGACUACCAGCUAAGGUCCCUAAAUCUUACUUAAGUGGAAAACGAUGUGAAGUUACUUAAACAACCAGGAGGUUGGCUUAGAAGCAGCCAUCCUUUAAAGAAAGCGUAAUAGCUCACUGGUCUAGUG